Molecule: ribosomal RNA, 210 nt
Filed under: uncultured bacterium
Lineage: Bacteria
Description: partial 16S ribosomal RNA
Rfam family: Bacterial small subunit ribosomal RNA
Source: RNAcentral
CACUCGUUGAAUGGGGGAUAACUAGCCGAAAGGUUAGCUAAUACCGCAUACGAUCUUUCGAAGGCAUCUUUGAAAGAUGAAAGGAGCAAUUCGUUCAACGACGGGACCGCGUCCCAUUAGCUAGAUGGUGGGGUAAUGGCCUACCAUGGCAACGAUGGGUAGCUGGUCUGAGAGAGCGACCAGCCACACUGGGACUGAGAGACGGCCCAG